CAAUAAAUACCUUACAGAGGUCUCGUUAACCGAGAUCUCUCAAACGGAAUGAGUACAACGUGAAUCCUUUAACGAGGAUCGACUGGAGGGCAAGCCUGGUGCCAGCAGCCGCGGUAAUUCCAGCUCCAGUAGCGUAUAUUAAAGCUGUUGCGGUUAAAAAGCUCGUAGUUGGAUAUCAGUGCGUGUCCGGUCCGGUAUGCCCGGCGGCGGCGCUCGCGCGUCACUGCUGGGCUCCCAAAUAUCGGCUGGCCGCAUUCAAUCGUGCCGGAUCCGUCGACGGGCCGUUCUUCGGAGGGGCCUGUUGGCGACCGGCGACGUUACCUUGAACAAAUUAGAGUGCUCAAAGCAGGCUCUGAAUGCCUGUAUACAUAUUCAUGGAAUUGGAGAAUACGUCCCUGGCUCGAUUUGGUUGGUUUUGAGAGUCGAAGGGAAAUGAUUAAUAGGGACUGACGGAGGCAUUCGUAUUGCGACGCGAGGGGUGAAAUCCUGUGACCGUCGCACGACGAACUACUGCGAAAGCAUUUGCCGAGAAUGUUUUCAUUAGUCAAGAACGAAAGUUAGAGGUUCGAAGGCGAUCAGAUACCGCCCUAGUUCUAACCGUAAACGAUGUCGACCAGCAAUCCGCAACGGUCACUACACGGACUGUGCGGGCAGCUUCCCCGGGGAAACCAGAGUGUAUGGACUCCGGGGGAAGUAUGGUUGCAAAGCUGAAACUUAAAGGAAUUGACGGAAGGGCACCACCAGGAGUGGAGCUUGCGGCUUAAUUUGACUCAACACGGGACAACUCACCAGGCCCGGACACCGUAAGGAUUGACAGACUGAUAGCUCUCUCUUGAUUCAGUGGGUGGUGGUGCAUGGCCGUUCUUAGUUGGUGGAGUGAUUUGUCUGGUUUAUUCCGAUAACGAACGAGACUCUGGCCUAUUAAACUUGACGCCGUCAGUCUCUUGUGACUGC
RNAcentral lists this ribosomal RNA (954 nucleotides) under Chthamalus moro. Its description in RNAcentral is "SSU rRNA". It matches the Rfam family "Eukaryotic small subunit ribosomal RNA", at positions 471 to 1381 of the family's 1831-position model. Lineage: Eukaryota; Metazoa; Arthropoda; Thecostraca; Balanomorpha; Chthamalidae. The record is from RNAcentral.